This 497-nucleotide ribosomal RNA is filed under the name uncultured bacterium. RNAcentral's name for it is "partial 16S ribosomal RNA". It matches the Rfam family "Bacterial small subunit ribosomal RNA", at positions 28 to 507 of the family's 1533-position model. The record is from RNAcentral.
GAUGAACGCUGGCGGCGUGCCUAAUACAUGCAAGUCGAGCGAACGGACGAGAAGCUUGCUUCUCUGAUGUUAGCGGCGGACGGGUGAGUAACACGUGGAUAACCUACCUAUAAGACUUGGAUAACUUCGGGAAACCGGAGCUAAUACCGGAUAAUAUUUUGAACCGCAUGGUUCAAAAGUGAAAGACGGUCUUGCUGUCACUUAUAGAUGGAUCCGCGCUGCAUUAGCUAGUUGGUAAGGUAACGGCUUACCAAGGCAACGAUGCAUAGCCGACCUGAGAGGGUGAUCGGCCACACUGGAACUGAGACACGGUCCAGACUCCUACGGGAGGCAGCAGUAGGGAAUCUUCCGCAAAGGGCGAAAGCCUGACGGAGCAACGCCGCGUGAGUGAUGAAGGUCUUCGGAUCGUAAAACUCUGUUAUUAGGGAAGAACAUAUGUGUAAGUAACUGUGCACAUCUUGACGGUACCUAAUCAGAAAGCCACGGCUAACUACGUG